GUAGUAAAAGCUAAAGUAGGAAGCGCUGGUCUUGUAAACCAGAUAUUGAGAUGAAUUUCUCUUACUUCU
Molecule: transfer RNA, 69 nt
Filed under: Cellana orientalis
Lineage: Eukaryota; Metazoa; Mollusca; Gastropoda; Nacellidae
Description: tRNA-Thr
Rfam family: tRNA
About the family: Transfer RNA (tRNA) molecules are approximately 80 nucleotides in length. Their secondary structure includes four short double-helical elements and three loops (D, anti-codon, and T loops). Further hydrogen bonds mediate the characteristic L-shaped molecular structure. tRNAs have two regions of fundamental functional importance: the anti-codon, which is responsible for specific mRNA codon recognition, and the 3' end, to which the tRNAs corresponding amino acid is attached (by aminoacyl-tRNA synthetases). tRNAs cope with the degeneracy of the genetic code in two manners: having more than one tRNA (with a specific anti-codon) for a particular amino acid; and 'wobble' base-pairing, i.e. permitting non-standard base-pairing at the 3rd anti-codon position.
Source: RNAcentral